This is a long non-coding RNA of Tigriopus californicus, 2097 nucleotides long. RefSeq lists it as uncharacterized. Lineage: Eukaryota; Metazoa; Arthropoda; Copepoda; Harpacticoida; Harpacticidae. The transcript has 3 exons. The record is from RefSeq and is a predicted model, not a curated record.
AGAGAAGGCUUCAAAAUCAUCUUUGACGACAAAGACUUAAUUCCUCAUUCAAGCUGAACUUGAACGAACCAACUUCCAGCCUCUUAAUAUACUUUUCAUGUCAAAUCAACCUUUGAUUGCGAAAGAAACAUUGCAAGGAAAAGUUAUUGUCAAUCACUCACUGCCAACCUAUGGUGUUUUAUGGAUUAAAUCUAGUCAAAACGCUUGCUAUAGAAAAAAGGCCUCAUGUUUUUAGGUACACCAAAAUAGUGUUAAUAUAUCUCAAGGCUACGAAAUAUCAUAAAGUUUUGAGUUCCUACUAAUCAAAAUUUGACUUGGAAGGACCCUUUUGAGUCAGAGAUGACAUGGACUUAGUGAAAUUUGAAAAAAAUGAUUUUUCUUUCCAAAGCCCUCUGCCAAGUUACGUUUUCAAGUUUUCAAGUGUCAAAUGAGGCCUACAAGAAUGUGGAGACAUACACAAGAGGACUUCAGACGUUCCAGUCACAAACAGGUACGAGCAGAGUUGCCAAGCUAAAAGGACAUGACUAUCAUUGUGGCUUGAAAACAGUCAUAUGCCAAAUUAUCUACAAUUGCUUGAUUUGAAGGUGCAGCUUUCACCUAAAGAGUUAAGUUCAUCUGCAGAACCUAAGUUGUUUAAGAAAAAAGGACAUAAUUUAAAGGUUGACAUUAUUUUAGAUCAAAAUUAAUGUUUAUCAAAAAAAUGAUUUUUUUUUGAUUUUAUAAAAGUUCAAAAGGAAAAAGGAUAUUGUUCUAGAAAUAAAGGUCGCCAAAUGGCAACAACUGUUCAGAAUAAAACUUUGAGGCUAUUUGAACAAAGUCACCACAACAUGUAUGGCAGCCCUGGUUGUUUGGUGUCCCUACCGUCGCUGCUACAAUUGUACCAAUGAUGGCGAGCCGGCUACGAGUAAGGUUGGAAACGAAGGGCAACUUUUUUCUUGCUCUACCAUUUUCUGAACUUUGUUCCACAGUCAGAAGGCCAGACGGCAGUCCUCCUGUUCGUCUUAAAGGUCACCUAGAGUCGAGUGACUUGACUUUUGGGGCUCCUAGGACCUCAAAUGGGGACACCAACAACAGCACUUACGAAGAGGACGGAGAGAACGCGGAGGUCGUUCGUUGUCCUGACGGAUUUCGUCUUUCUCGGUAGAACAAGGAACUUUGUGUGGAGAACGUCUCGACGAAUGUGCGCACCUACAUAUAUUCGUAAGACCGUUUCUUUGCCUACUCUAGAAGUCGUCAAUGGAGGCAGUGGAUAGCUAGACGGACCAAACGUUAAAACACUCACUCGUCGUCCAGUUGACGAACUCACCUUUUGACCAUGACAGCAUUGGCAUCCACGUCAACACGAGGAAGAACGACAAUACCAAGGCAGUGGGGACCCAUGCCAGGAACAUGAGGUUCGUACUGAAAUAUCAACCCAGAAAACACGAUGAAUGGAGGACUUACCACCGUUGUAUGUAGACAGUAUGCCUAUCGGAGAAGGGAAUCUUUCCUCAACAUUCACCGUUACGGAUGAAAACAUACUGUUUUGAAUGAGCAAAAUCCCCACUUUGAAUGUGGAAGGGAUAUUCCUUUACGGACGUGAAGAAUUCAAAGUUUAGAGCCCACACCACCGCUGCCAAGUGGAACAAUUCCCCCUGUUCCUGGUGCUGUUCCAGCCCCGCCCGCACUUCCGCUCCCACUCACAUUCAUCAAGGACGACGAGUUCGAUGAUUGAUGUCGGUAGCUUCCCGGCCUUCGACCAAAUCCUCCGCCCACUGAAGACGAGUCCUUGAUUUGUCAAAGAAAACAACGAGAUAUGAGUUCCAUGGAGUAAUGAAACCAUAUGCAGUAAAGUCAAAUAAUAUCAUUAGCAUCUUUAUACGUAGAUCUGCUUCAGGCACCCUCGGCUGGAAAGCCCAUUAAGAUUCAUCACUCUCUCAAACGAUCUCUUUCCAUCUGUUCUUGCCGAUAUGCUUGAUCGACGAAAAAAACCAAAGGCCAAAUAAUUUUUCACAAUUACGGAAAUGUCUCUACAUAGAUCACCACCUGAAGUAUCUGAAGCAUCUGGAUCUUGAUUCUUAAACAUACAAACAUACAUGUCUUUUUACUCACCAGAGG